Molecule: ribosomal RNA, 498 nt
Filed under: uncultured bacterium
Lineage: Bacteria
Description: partial 16S ribosomal RNA
Rfam family: Bacterial small subunit ribosomal RNA
Source: RNAcentral
AUUGAACGCUGGCGGCAUGCCUUACACAUGCAAGUCGAACGGUAACGCGGGGCAACCUGGCGACGAGUGGCGAACGGGUGAGUGAAGCAUCGGAACGUGCCCAGUAGCGGGGGAUAGCCCGGCGAAAGCCGGAUUAAUACCGCAUACGACCUAUGGGUGAAAGGGGGGGAUCGCAAGACCUCUCGCGAUGGGAGCGGCCGAUGUCAGAUUAGGUAGUUGGGGGGGUAAAGGCCUACCAAGCCGACGAUCUGUAGCUGGUCUGAGUGGACGACCAGCCACACGGGGACUGAGACACGGCCCAGACUCCUACGGGAGGCAGCAGUGGGGAAUGUUGGACAAUGGGCGCAAGCCUGAUCCAGCCAUGCCGCGUGCGGGAAGAAGGCCUUCGGGUUGUAAACCGCUUUUGUCAGGGAAGAAAUCCUUUGGGUUAAUACCUCGGGGGGAUGACGGUACCUGAAGAAUAAGCACCGGCUAACUACGUGCCAGCAGCCGCCGUAA